Molecule: long non-coding RNA, 2449 nt
Organism: Salvelinus fontinalis (brook trout)
Lineage: Eukaryota; Metazoa; Chordata; Actinopteri; Salmoniformes; Salmonidae
Exons: 3
Source: RefSeq, a predicted model, not a curated record
AUAGCCCACCCCAAUCUACCCACCUCAUCCCCAUAUUGUUUUUAUUUACUUUACUGCUCUUUUGCACACCAGUAUCACUACUUGCUCAUCUAUCACUCCAGUGUUAGUCUGCAAAAUGUUUAUUACUUUGAAACUAUGGCCUAUUUAUUGCCUUACCUCCUCACGCCAUUUGCACACACUGUAUAGACUUCUUUUUUUCUAUUGUGUUAUUGACUGACUCUGUGUUGUUGUUUGUGUCGCACUGCUUUGCUUUAUCUUGGCCAGGUCGCAGUUGUAAAUGAGAACUUGUUCUCAACUAGCUUACCUGGUUAAAUAAAGGUGAAAUAAACAAAAAAUCCCAGAGGAUCCCAGAUGGCUAACAAUAACAUAACCUGACAUAACGUAAACGUUAUACAUUAAGCUCUCUCCCUCAGUGACAUGAAUUAGUAUAUUUCAUAUUCUCAGAACCCAACAGUAGGUUUUAAGGUGUGGCUGCAUGUUUGUCGUGGACGCAUUGUCACUCUUGAUGUUCUUUUUCCAGAUUGCAAGUGAAACACCUUUAGAUGUAAGUGCCAGUUGGUAACUUUCUCACACUUGCUUGUUUAAGGUAUGGAUGCAACACCCCAGUAUGUCUGCAGGGGCUGGUCACUGAGAUUUACCAUGUUUCACAUGCUACUAGACUAACCUUCCAAGUAAAUAUGUUACAAGUCUGAACUGGCCAUCCUGGUCUUUCCUCAACUAAUUGAAACCUCAGGGACAGACAUGCUAAACGACUUUGAUGUCAGAGCUCCCAUCAGCCCUCUACACCUCGCUGCGUACCACGGCCACCACCAUGCUAUGGAGGUCCUGGUUCAGUCUCUGCUGGAUCUAGACGUGAGGGACAGCCAGGGGCGCACCCUCUGGACCUGUCUGCCUUAAAAUGCCAUGUGGAGUGUGUUGACGUCCUCAUCAACCAGGGAGCCUCCAUCCUGGUUAAAUACUUCACCCUAAAGAGGACCCCCAUCCACGCUGCAGGCGGUGACGGGUCACGAGGAGUGCAGCACAGCGCCAGCUUCCUGGUUCGGAAAGGUAAGGGGCGGAGCCCUGUCCACCUGGUGGCGACGUCCGGACACAUCGUGGUGCUGGGGUGGCUCCUACACACCGCCCAGUCAGUGUGGACCCUCCCCGUCAUCACAGACAACCAGGGCUACACGCCACUACACUUGGCCUGCUACAACGGUACGUACUGGACAGAGGGACAGCGAAGUGAGCCCGAGGCCACAAACAAAUACACACAUAAAUAUAGCGUGUCUUAAAUCACCACAGCCAGCUUCGGGAGGGCACGAACCGAGACAGUCCGCACAGGAGCCUUAAAAGUCCCUCAGACUGAGAGAGAGGGAGGAACAACAGGCUGGCUGGCCCACACUCAUCCUCUCGUACCACCAGGUGUCCUUCCAGCAGAUACUGGACUUCAGAGGAACUGCUGCUUCUAUACCCCAUCUUUACCUUUACCCACAAAGGUCCUAAACGGUAGAAAGUGUCCGGCCAACAGACAGACACCUUAUGAUGGCAAUAACCUGUAGUCCAAGGGGAUAGUAGCACUUCACUGAGAGCAAAACAGACAGGGAUCAAAAGAUGUGGAAGAAGCAUUUUCAAAAGCUGUUUUGACUGUAGAUAUUGGGCUGAGUGUUUGGGCUGAGAAAAGACAUUAGGAGUGAUGUUUCAUUUAAGUUUCAUGAGAGUGAUUGUCAUGUUAAUCCGCACACUAAGACAGUCAGAACGCACCUAGCCUCUUGUCUGUAAUCCAUGUGGGAGGAGGGGAAAUCAUACAUUUUUUAUGAACAAACAUUUGAAUAAAAUCAUUCAUGUCUUAAGGUCUGUGGGAAUCAAAACAUCGUAGUAUUUGCUCUCAUGAGUAAUUGUAAAGUUUUGAUGAUCCCAAAUGGAACCCUAUUCCCUAUACUGAAUAUUGAACAGGGCCCAUAGUGGUCUGGUCAGAAGCAGUGCACUCUAAAGGAAAUAGGGUGCCAUUUAGGAUGCUGGUUUUGCAUACCGGUAUGUGACCAACAGGACUUUUUGAUGGGACAUAUUACAUUUGUGUUAUUAAACCUACCUGUCCUUUGCCCUCUAGAAAAUAUUUUUUAAAGUAAAUGAUUAAUUCAUGUAUUCUUUCUUGUGAUAUUUAUGUCAUCAUUUUAUGCCUUCGUUAGUUACUGAGGGGUGGUUAGGAGAGUAGGGGCACCUGUAUGAGCGAAAACAAUGAUGCACACUAAGUACUACAACGUUUGUGAAAAGCACUGAUACUAUCCCGAGGCAUGUGAGGUGGAAAACAUGUCUCCCUUGGAGAGGAAAAACACUGUAAACCAAUGGUAGGACAGCAGCAAUUAGAUUUUCGUCUUCUGGAAAAUAAAUAUCUAUAUUAUUUGUCUUUGGUCUUAUAAUCAAUGUUUUUUUAACAGGUUUUGCUUGCUUUAACUUCUUCAAAAAAUGA